RNAcentral lists this ribosomal RNA (136 nucleotides) under uncultured eukaryote. RNAcentral describes it as "partial 18S ribosomal RNA". It matches the Rfam family "Eukaryotic small subunit ribosomal RNA", at positions 1299 to 1458 of the family's 1831-position model. The record is from RNAcentral.
UGGUGGAGUGAUUUGUCUGCUUAAUUGCGAUAACGAACGAGACCUUGACCUGCUAAAUAGCCCGGCCGCUUUGGCGGGUCGCCGGCUUCUUAGAGGGACUAUCGGCUCAAGCCGAUGGAAGUUCGAGGCAAUAACA